GAAUAUUAGUUUGAAUAUUGAAAAAUAAUGUAUAACAAAUAAUAUAUAACAAAGAAUUAGCUAGAUUAAUUUAAUUACAUUAAAUUAAAUUCAUUAUUUUUUCAAUAAUUUUUCAGAUAUUCUGUCUGUGCCUCCAGUGGUGUGUGUUUCUGUUCUGUGUGGCCCAGAUGUGUGGUGCAGCUCCUUUGUCCAACAAUUCAGGAGAUCAGUGCUUCACUGAGCUCCUCCAGGAGGAGAUGGAAUAAAUCUGAGCCGCACACACUUUGCUUCUUCACCGUGGAAAGGUGCAGACUGGGACCCUAAAGCGAGCCAGUGGCUUCAAGAGGUACAGUUUAUCAUUUUUAAUGGAGAGGAACAGGAAGUGGAGACAUGAAGCUGGGCUUUGUGAUUUAUACACCUCCUCGGUCGGAGGGAGAAAGGAGCAAGUCUAUCUCCCUGUCCACACCCCUGGUCUGCAGCAGCAUUUGCUUGAAUCACAACAAAUGUAAAAAGAAAAAAAGAAAAGAAAAAAAAAAAGACGAACAGAGAAUUUUCCUUCUUAAUUGUAACAUCUGGGAAAUUCUAUCGCCUUAUUCAUAUGUUCUUGAAUUAUUAAUGUUGGCAUUUACUCACCAGUUACUUCACCUGUUCACCUACUCAUUCAUGUAAUUAUCUAUUCAGCCAAUCACAUGACAGAAAGUCAGGGCAUGUAGACAUGGUCCAGACGAGCCGCUGAAGCAAGCAAGAAUUAAGUGAUUAGGAGUGUUGUCUUGUUGGAUCUAGACCUGGUCUGGGUCUGAGUACUCCACCCACUGAUGAUCUAAAGUUUAGAUUCUAAACCAUCAAAAUAAAAUCACAGGAACCUUUUGUGACAACUGAUAACAGUUCUGAUGUGAUUACACUAAUGUGUUAACUUUCUUUAUUCUUUAUCGAUGCUCUUAUUGAUUCUCAUUGGAAAAAAAAAAAAAAAAAAAA
Long non-coding RNA from Cynoglossus semilaevis (tongue sole), 954 nucleotides. RefSeq lists it as uncharacterized. The record is from RefSeq and is a predicted model, not a curated record. Lineage: Eukaryota; Metazoa; Chordata; Actinopteri; Pleuronectiformes; Cynoglossidae. The transcript is spliced from 2 exons.